Panicum virgatum (switchgrass) is the source of this 517-nucleotide long non-coding RNA. RefSeq lists it as uncharacterized. NCBI's taxonomy places the organism in Eukaryota, Viridiplantae, Streptophyta, Magnoliopsida, Poales, Poaceae. The record is from RefSeq and is a predicted model, not a curated record. The transcript is spliced from 2 exons.
AGCCGCGCAGUCAAACUCAAACCGGAAGGCCGCGUCGCCGCCCGCAACGGCCCCACCGCGGACACGGUUUAUCCAAUCCAGGCAAGCAUCCCCACCACCGCCACGAUCACGAGGGCCGCGAUGCGGCGGCGAGAACUAGGGGCGCGCGUCCAGACGUCGUCCUCUCCCGCGCUUGAUCACUCCGCCCCGCCCGCCAUCGCCUCCUCGUCGCGGGCGGAGGGUUCCAGGGAGGACCGGGACUCGGGAGGAGCGAGGUCGUCACCGCAGGGCGGCGGCAUGGGCCAGUGCGCGACGCGGGGAGGGGGGGAGGAGGGGGUGCCUGGCCGUGGCGCGGGAGCAGCGGUCCCGGUUCUACAUCUUCCGCCGCUGCGUCGCCAUGCUCGUCUGCUGGCACAAGUACAAGAAGAUCUGAACGUUCCCUUCAGUUCAGCCUCGCCUUCGAUUAUUAUCCUCUCCGGUCUCCGCCCGCCCGGGAAUAUUCUUUGUAACUGUAAUAUAAAUCUCGUUGUCAUGCAUC